Molecule: transfer RNA, 79 nt
Organism: Dichomitus squalens LYAD-421 SS1
Lineage: Eukaryota; Fungi; Basidiomycota; Agaricomycetes; Polyporales; Polyporaceae
Rfam family: tRNA
About the family: Transfer RNA (tRNA) molecules are approximately 80 nucleotides in length. Their secondary structure includes four short double-helical elements and three loops (D, anti-codon, and T loops).
Source: Rfam
GGCCGCCUGGCGUAAUGGCAACGCGUCUGACUACGAUUGGGCAAUCAGGAGAUUGCAGGUUCGACCCCUGCGGUGGUCA